ACUUUCUUUGGUCGGAUUCUUCUUAACAAGGACAACAUUUGCUACCCACGUUGGAUAAUUGACUUCACGGACGAAGCCUAUGCCUUUGAGUUUUUCAACUUCUGCCUUCAUUGCCUCAUACCGUUCAACGUCAUAAGAUCUUUGCUUCUGUCUCACUGGCUUAGUCUUGGGGUCAAUACUUAAGCGAUGACAGAUGAUAUCGUGAGAAAUGCCUGGC
RNAcentral lists this long non-coding RNA (217 nucleotides) under Malus domestica (apple). RNAcentral's name for it is "long non-coding RNA (MDOM_LNC015120)". Lineage: Eukaryota; Viridiplantae; Streptophyta; Magnoliopsida; Rosales; Rosaceae. The record is from RNAcentral.